GACGAACGCUGGCGGCGUGCCUAAUACAUGCAAGUAGAACGCUGAAGGAGGAGCUUGCUCUUCUGGAUGAGUUGCGAACGGGUGAGUAACGCGUAGGUAACCUGCCUGGUAGCGGGGGAUAACUAUUGGAAACGAUAGCUAAUACCGCAUAAUAGUAGAUGUUGCAUGAUAUUUACUUAAAAGGUGCAAUUGCACCACUACCAGAUGGACCUGAGUUGUAUUAUCUAGUUGGUGGGGUAACGGCUCACCAAGGCGACGAUACAUAGCCGACCUGAGAGGGUGAUCGGCAAAGCUGGGCCUGGGGCACGGCCCAGAAUACUAGGGGAGGCAGCAGUAGGGGAUCUUCAGCAAUGGAAGAAAGUCUGACCGAGCAACGCCGCGUGAGAGACGAAGGCUUUCGGAUCGUAAAGCUCUGUUGUAAGAGAAGAACGAGUGUGAGAGUGGAAAGUUCACACUGUGACGGUAUCUGAACAGAAAGGGACGGCUAACUACGUG
RNAcentral lists this ribosomal RNA (495 nucleotides) under uncultured bacterium. RNAcentral's name for it is "partial 16S ribosomal RNA". It matches the Rfam family "Bacterial small subunit ribosomal RNA", at positions 28 to 507 of the family's 1533-position model. The record is from RNAcentral.